Molecule: unclassified non-coding RNA, 1147 nt
Filed under: Hevea brasiliensis (rubber tree)
Lineage: Eukaryota; Viridiplantae; Streptophyta; Magnoliopsida; Malpighiales; Euphorbiaceae
Source: RNAcentral
AAUUUGAGUAGUUUUCUCAUGAAGGCAUCAACAAAUUGUUCAUAAUUUCAGUUCCUACCCCUCUUGAAUACACUGCAAGAAACCGGUUCAGGUUUGCAAAAUGAUAUAGUAACUAGGAGAAAUAACUAAACACAAUCUCAAAAUCUGCACUAGAAAAUAAUACCACCUUGAAAAGUUAUAAUUUUAUUUGUGUUCCAAAAGAAUUUUAUAAUCGACUCAUUUUACAUUCCACUACACAAAUAUUGGCUGUUAAUGUAACAAACCCCUUUGGAUAAUUUUUUAACAUCGAAUAAACCCAAAUCAGAGGAUUCGAUCUUGAAGAUCAGUUAUUAAGGUCGAUGCCAAUGAACUGAGUUUCUUCCCAGUCUCUCCAGCCAUAUUCUUGAGGGAAGAAAUAUCCUGUUGUGCCUGGAAAGAUAUCCGGUUAAUCAGAUCACUUGCAGCAAGAUCAAUGGAGUGAUCAUUGCUGUUACCAAAAAGAUCAGCACUGGAGAUUGCUGAGGAACCUGUGAAUUUCUGCAAGGAAACUUGAGCAUCAACAUCGGUGGCUUUGCUCUGAUCUCCAAAGUACUGGGCUGAUGAGAUUGAUUUUGCAUUUGAGAACUUUUUCCUUGCUUCAUCUGUUUCCUGAAUCUGCACCUUUGAGGAGUUUGAGUUUGAUUUCCUCUGAAAUCCACUAUCCAUUCCAAAUUCUGCAAAGAAGCUUGAUGACUUUGGUGGUGAUACAUGGCUAAUCACUUGCGGACCUCCAGAAAUGAGCUCAGUAGAUUGGACAUCAUCCACAUAUUCAAAGCGAGAUACAAACGAUGUGCCAGCUUUUGGAGUGGUGGUGUUACUAGAUGAAGGAACAGGAAGAGCUGGUUCUUCAGGUUUCUGAUCAUAGAGAUUUUCACUGGGCUUUGUGGUAAGCUUUCUAGCACCAAGGCCCCCCGUCUUCCCGGUUUUCUUUGCACCAACAGGCUUCUUGAUUAAACCGGUAAUAACUGAACGAGAAGUUUUUAGGGAAUGAGCAACAUCAGUUGUUUCUUGCUUUUCUAAUGACCUUUCUUUAGGAGUCUCAUCGACCUUGUUAUCAGGAAGUCCAUUGGACACUUGGGCUGACUGAAAAGCAACAGGCAAUGAUGGCAAGCCUGCAUCUUCUGCCAUA